This 86-nucleotide small RNA is filed under the name Arabidopsis thaliana (thale cress). RNAcentral describes it as "ATSL022920". The record is from RNAcentral. Lineage: Eukaryota; Viridiplantae; Streptophyta; Magnoliopsida; Brassicales; Brassicaceae.
UGGGUUCAAACCCCACUUCUGACAUAAUUAACUUAAAAUAGACAUACUGUGUGAAAAAACAGAAGAAGAUUAACCAACAAAAUAAC